Molecule: non-coding RNA, 831 nt
Organism: Rattus norvegicus (Norway rat)
Lineage: Eukaryota; Metazoa; Chordata; Mammalia; Rodentia; Muridae
Source: RefSeq, a predicted model, not a curated record
UUCAACUCUAAAAAUCACAGUAUAUGUUAUAGUUUCUUUUUGAUUAAUAUCCUAGUUAUUAAAUUCAAAUCUAAGUUUCUGCUUCUUUUGUUCUAGGUCACUCCAGAAACUUCCACCUGAAGACAAAAUAUUUGGAGGAACAACUGUGACUGACACAGCCUGGCAGGAACCCAGCAAGACUGUGCAUGAUUCCCACCUCAGGAGGCCCUGUCAACUGACAGAUCUAAUAAAUGAAGAUGGUUUUCUUUUGAGGAGAAACAAACAUAUUGUUCAAGAAAAAGAGUCACAUGAGACCCCGUAUCAGGUGAGCGAUAUGAAGAGUUGGCAUUUACGUGAUGUUGGGAAAACUGCUCUAUAGCUGAGCUCUAUGAUCCAGCCAGCACAGUGCCUAGUACUUCGAUAGCUAGCGAGCGAUUUUGUAUUUAGAUGUUCUUUGUUGUUUUUUUAAUUGCUGAGCUCAUGUUCUUGUGAAUUGGGAUACAAAUGAAAAAGAAAAAAAAAUCAAAUGUCGCCUUGAGAUAAUAAACCAUUAUGAUUAUGCAGAACACCAUGUUCAGCAACCUUUUGUCAAGUACCUCCGGGACUGUUAAAUUACUACGCGGGGAGUAUUUCUGAUGAGACCUCUGUUAACUGCUUCGAGAUCUUUGGCAUCCUUCAGUGUGGAGCACAUGCCUCCUUAUGUUCACAUCCGACAGAAACUCAUCUACUGUGACUCCCAGUUUAGCCCUUUGAAAAUUGAUUUGAUUACUGUAAGAAUUCAAGCAACCAAGAUGUGUGAAUGUUGAGUCUCCCUAGUCACAAUCAGUAUUAGUUCACAGCCAAGUAGUUGCU